GAUGAACGCUGGCGGCGUGCCUAAUACAUGCAAGUCGAGCGAACAGACGAGGAGCCUGCUCCUCUGACGUUAGCGGCGGACGGGUGAGUAACACGUGGAUAACCUACCUAUAAGACUGGGAUAACUUCGGGAAACUGGAGCUAAUACCGGAUAAUAUAUUGAACCGCAUGGUUCAAUAGUGAAAGACGGUUUUGCUGUCACUUAUAGAUGGAUCCGCGCCGCAUUAGCUAGUUGGUAAGGUAACGGCUUACCAAGGCAACGAUGCGUAGCCGACCUGAGAGGGUGAUCGGCCACACUGGAACUGAGACACGGUCCAGACUCCUACGGGAGGCAGCAGUAGGGAAUCUUCCGCAAUGGGCGAAAGCCUGACGGAGCAACGCCGCGUGAGUGAUGAAGGUCUUCGGAUCGCAAAACUCUGUUAUUAGGGAAGAACAAAUGUGUAAGUAACUAUGCACGUCUUGACGGUACCUAAUCAGAAAGCCACGGCUAACUACGUG
Molecule: ribosomal RNA, 497 nt
Filed under: uncultured bacterium
Lineage: Bacteria
Description: partial 16S ribosomal RNA
Rfam family: Bacterial small subunit ribosomal RNA
Source: RNAcentral